CCUACGGGGGGCAGCAGUAGGGAAUCUUCCACAAUGGGCGAAAGCCUGAUGGAGCAACGCCGCGUGGGUGAAGAAGGUCUUCGGAUCGUAAAACUCUGUUGUUAGAGAAGAAAGUGCGUGAGAGUAACUGUUCACGUUUCGACGGUAUCUAACCAGAAAGCCACGUCUAACUACGUGCCAGCAGCCGCGGUAAUACGUAGGUGGCAAGCGUUAUCCGGAUUUAUUGGGCGUAAAGGGAACGCAGGCGGUCUUUUAAGUCUGAUGUGAAAGCCUUCGGCUUAACCGGAGUAGUGCAUUGGAAACUGGGAGACUUGAGUGCAGAAGAGGAGAGUGGAACUCCAUGUGUAGCGGUGAAAUGCGUAGAUAUAUGGAAGAACACCAGUGGCGAAAGCGGCUCUCUGGUCUGUAACCGACGCUGAGGUUCGAAAGCGUGGGUAGCAAACAGGAUUAGAUACCCGUGUAGUC
This 465-nucleotide ribosomal RNA is filed under the name uncultured bacterium. RNAcentral's name for it is "partial 16S ribosomal RNA". It matches the Rfam family "Bacterial small subunit ribosomal RNA", at positions 338 to 795 of the family's 1533-position model. The record is from RNAcentral.